Molecule: ribosomal RNA, 253 nt
Filed under: uncultured bacterium
Lineage: Bacteria
Description: partial 16S ribosomal RNA
Rfam family: Bacterial small subunit ribosomal RNA
Source: RNAcentral
UACGUAGGGACCAAGCGUUGUUCGGAUUCACUGGGCGUAAAGGGUGCGUAGGUGGCCAGGUAAGUUCGGUGUGAAAGCUCGGAGCUUAACUUCGAAAUGUCAUUGAAUACUAUCUGGCUAGAGGGUCGGAGGGGAGACUGGAAUUCUCGGUGUAGCAGUGAAAUGCGUAGAUAUCGAGAGGAACACCAGUGGCGAAGGCGAGUCUCUGGACGACACCUGACACUGAGGCACGAAAGCUAGGGGAGCAAACAGG